This 253-nucleotide ribosomal RNA is filed under the name uncultured bacterium. RNAcentral describes it as "partial 16S ribosomal RNA". It matches the Rfam family "Bacterial small subunit ribosomal RNA", at positions 524 to 776 of the family's 1533-position model. The record is from RNAcentral.
UACAGAGGUCUCAAGCGUUGUUCGGAUUCAUUGGGCGUAAAGGGUGUGUAGGUGGCGCCUUAAGUCGGGUGUGAAAUUUCGGAGCUUAACUCCGAAACUGCAUUCGAUACUGCGGUGCUUGAGGACUGGAGAGGAGACUGGAAUUUACGGUGUAGCAGUGAAAUGCGUAGAGAUCGUAAGGAAGACCAGUGACGAAGGCGGGUCUCUGGACAGUUCCUGACACUGAGGCACGAAGGCCAGGGGAGCAAACGGG